GGAGGUAGAUCAUUGUAUUAAAGACAUUGGUGAAGGUUUGACUCAACUUAGAUCGAAGCAGAUCCAACUCUCAGUGCCAAAAUGGUAAUCCAGCUGAAAAUAAAUGGUCCCAGAGGAGAGGAAAAGAUCACCGAUAUUUGUGAAAAUAUAGAGGAGUUGGAGAGCAUGACUGUGCUGGACCUGAAAAACAUCAUUUAUGAAACGCUUAUGAUAAAGGCAGACUUCCGGAUUGUCUUUAGAAACCAGCCACUAGCGGAGCCAGCUCUGCUGAUAUCUUAUGGGAUCAAACACAUGUCCACCAUUCACACGCUGUUGAUGCUGCCUGGAGGAUACUGAUAUGAGGACAAAAGAAUCCCCACAGACUCUGCACAGACACAAUUAACCUAACAGUUUAUUAUAAUCUAAUAUCUUCUCUCAUUUGAAAACAAGAAAUAAAUAAAUCAUGCUGUUUUCA
Non-coding RNA from Maylandia zebra (zebra mbuna), 454 nucleotides. NCBI's taxonomy places the organism in Eukaryota, Metazoa, Chordata, Actinopteri, Cichliformes, Cichlidae. The record is from RefSeq and is a predicted model, not a curated record.